RNAcentral lists this ribosomal RNA (467 nucleotides) under uncultured bacterium. RNAcentral's name for it is "partial 16S ribosomal RNA". It matches the Rfam family "Bacterial small subunit ribosomal RNA", at positions 29 to 507 of the family's 1533-position model. The record is from RNAcentral.
ACGAACGCUGGCGGCGUGCUUAACACAUGCAAGUCGAACGGAAAGGCCCUGCUUUUGUGGGGUGCUCGAGUGGCGAACGGGUGAGUAACACGUGAGUAACCUGCCCUUGACUUUGGGAUAACUUCAGGAAACUGGGGCUAAUACCGGAUAGGAGCUCCUGCUGCAUGGUGGGGGUUGGAAAGUUUCGGCGGUUGGGGAUGGACUCGCGGCUUAUCAGCUUGUUGGUGGGGUAGUGGCUUACCAAGGCUUUGACGGGUAGCCGGCCUGAGAGGGUGACCGGCCACAUUGGGUCUGAGAUACGGCCCAGACUCCUACGGGAGGCAGCAGUGGGGAAUAUUGCACAAUGGGCGGAAGCCUGAUGCAGCAACGCCGCGUGCGGGAUGACGGCCUUCGGGUUGUAAACCGCUUUCGCCUGUGACGAAGCGUGAGUGACGGUAAUGGGUAAAGAAGCACCGGCUAACUACGUG